RNAcentral lists this long non-coding RNA (883 nucleotides) under Dermacentor andersoni. Its description in RNAcentral is "uncharacterized LOC126547864". The record is from RNAcentral. Lineage: Eukaryota; Metazoa; Arthropoda; Arachnida; Ixodida; Ixodidae.
ACCAUCCAUGAGAUCACCGAAAGCACGGUCGCUUUCGGUGGCGGCCUACAGAUGGCAGCACAGGUAGCGCCGGUAAAGUUACAGGUGAUAUUAUUUUGCCGUCCUCAGUUGUCGCCACAUGUGAGUGCUUGCUGCAUUGACGCCGUCCGAUGUAGUUGUUUAAUCGUGUGUACGCUGUGCCGAGAGAAAUUGUGGUGCAUUUUGUAUGCAUUGAGAAUCACAAAACCCCUGGGACCGCGUAAUGUAGCCCGCAGUAUCCUUCGUGUGGUGCGCCGAUGUCGAAGAUAUGACCCUUCGCGCUUCCUUUGUUCCGGGCUCAUGAACAGGAUCUCCUCCUCUGGCACUGUCGCAUCGUAUCGCGCUGUACGGAAGAAUUUGGUGAAAGUUGUGCUCUUACGUCCUGUAGUUGAUCCGCAAUUCAACAGUGUGUGCGCCGGAAGGACCGUUGGUGCAGUCGAUACCGCGGCACCUGUGACGCUAAAAGGAGCGUUUUCCGAGUACGCCUAGAAAGGGAUGGCAAGAUUUUGUGAACCAGAGGCACCUCCACAUAUGCACCUGCGGCACUUCUGCAGCCUCAACAGCACGGAAAAGUACCUGAUGUGCAUGCUGUGACAAGCUGCUGUAGGUAUGGCUGGACCUGGAGAAGAAGUGUAAGCAGACCAUGCUAUGUUGCUGAUCUGCGCUGAUCUCCACAUCCAAGUUGGUCCCGCGACAGUUGGGCACCAUUGUGCCUUGCUUCAUUGACAAGGUGAUAUAAUAUGGUGCCCUGCUCGCUCUCACCCAAGCAACCCACUCCAGCGGUCUUCUCUCGGCAGACUGGAUGCAUCGAAAUACCGUUAGAAGGUCCAAUAAACAGUGCUUGUGACAUUUAUGACAUGCUUUU